AAAUUAAAAAGGCAAAAAUAAGUUAUCCCUGAAUCAUUAUGUGCGUUAAAAUUUAAAACUCAAUGAGUACAUAAUAAAAUAACAAAGAGUUGGAAAAAACCUUGUCAGUUCCAUAAAGAAAAUCACAAUAGGUAAAGACAGAAGCAAAGUUGCUGUGGCUUUGCUCCCCAACAUAAUGGUGGUAAUCAUGAUAAUCUGCACCGCCGUAAAAUGGAAUAUACUUUGUGAAACCCCAGGGGAAGUCAUACCUGCAAAAGGAGAAACAAACUAGCACAUGCUUUACAUCUACAAAAAUCAGCACGUAAAGACAAAAAAAUAUGGCUCUUUAAUACUAAAACUGCCAGCUGUGAGAAGCCAUCAAAGAUAAAAACAGAAAUCAGAGAAAAUUUCCAAAAAAAUACAUAAUUUCUCAUUGCGAUUCCACUCUCAACCAUACAGUCAAACCAAUAAAAUCCAACGACUCAGAGCAAUUAUCAAAUACAAAUAGAUCAUUCAUAUAAAAAAUAUGAAUGCAGAAAAUGUUGCUGUGAACAUGCAACACCGUGCCUUCAGGCAUUUUACCAUAUCCUCGAAAGUUUAUCAUCAAUAAUAACUCUCAACUUCCCCCUCUCCAUGAAGCUCAUAACUACAAUUUAAAGCAAUCUUGUUCCUCGUCAUUCUCUUCCCUAUAUUUCUUUAACUUGAAAAUUUGGUGGUUGAAACUUAGAGUCCAUCCAUAACAGUUGCAAUCUCAACUUCUCAUCUACUCAAAUAUAUAAAUACUACAAAGUUUUGUCCUCAUUGUAAAAAUAUAAAAGCAAUGCCAUCAAAGUUUAAAGAAAUUAUUUUAAUAUUAGUCUUAAAUGAAAAACAAAAAAUCCUCAAAAAGAAUUAUAUCUACCCAGGCUAAUUGCUUUCACCCGCACCAAUUCCAGAUUAAAAUAAGAUACCAUCCAUGCAAUGCAUUCUUCGUGGUUAGAAUCUCUCAGAUACCUUUAUACAUUUCAGUUAUAUUCUAUGCUCGACCAAAGGCCACCUAAUUCCUGAAGAUUUCACCAUGCACCAUUAGCCUCUAUUAAGUAACCUCUGAUUAUCUAUUAAAAAUAACUUCCUUUAUUAAGUCAUUCUGGCCAAUAGUUUUGCCAUAUUUAUAGGGUCAUUGCCCAUUCAUUGGUGAUUGGAACAACUUAGCCAUGGAGCAGAAAACAAUGCAGUGGAGGACUAUUAUUAAAGGGCAUCAAACUAAACAUGAUACCCAAGAAUCAAAAUGUUAACACACUUCAACAGAAAAAAGCAUCCAACAAGCAACAUACUACAGUAAUAGCUUAGAGUGUCUUGAAAAUAAUUCUUAUGCAACAAUUCAUAUAUCGAUGAAUAAGCGGCGGAUGCACCAUGUGACCAGUACAGCCCCCACUGGCUAAAAAAAAAAUUCUAAGAAUAAAAAAAAAUAUAUUUAAGAUUCCAUUAAAUCUAUUAAAAUUGACUCUAUAAAUUUAUAAAUUCACAAAAUUUAAACUUUAACGUUUAGAAUUAUAAAAGCCCACACUAUAAUUAAAAAUAAUGAUAGGUCAUCACCACAAACAUUUUUCUAUUCUUGAAAAUACGUCGACAACAGUCAUAAAUGUAUUAACAAGUAUUUUAUACAUUCAAAGUUCUAGUUUUAAAAUUUUACUAAUAUGUAAUCUAGCCCCCGGUAAAUUAUUUUUCUAAAUCUGCCACUGUCGAUGAUGCAUAAAAAGCCAUGAGUUAUAUAUAUAUAUAUAUGAGAAGGAAAUCUUAGAAAGUACAUUCAUAAAUAGAAGUUACUAAAUGGCAUGCAUGCCCGAGCCAAACAAAAAGAAAAAAAGGAAAAAGACAUACAUCUGUUUCGCUAAUUUAAGAACUUGGAAACUGACUUAGGGAUAGUAAAAGACAGAGCAGAAUUGCAAUAGUUACCAGAUUCCCAAAAAUUUCAGGAUUUGGUCAUAUAGAAAUGAUAGAUUGGAGCAAUUUUGAAUACUAAUUAAUGGUAACUUACUGCCAAAGCAAAAUACAAUUAAGAGAAUAACAAGAAGAUGACAGUAAUGUUGAAAGGGAAAAGGCACAAAGUCUACAAAUGAAAGGUAAGCCACUGUAAAAGAUCUUUGAACCCCCCUCCUUUUACAAUGAAUUCCACCAGAAAGGAUAAAUGGAGUGAAAGAAAUUCUAAAGUUGACAUCAUUUAGUAAAAAAUAAACUAAAGCAGAAAAGGACAGUGAUAAUUUCUUUCUUUUUUUUUUUAUUUAGAAAAAAGGACAGCAUGCAUACCCGCUGUGAGUAUCAAUUGCCUCAAUCUGCCGCAAAGCAAUCCACAACCAGAAUGUGAUCAUGUGCCCAGGAGCCAUUGCAGGACCAAGAAAGGAUGGAAUCCCAAGGAUCAAAAUCUCAGCCCAAUGUGCAUAUGGUGCAGCAAAUCCAAUGGGAGCGGUGUAUUCAUGAUGAACGCGGUGAAUUUUCUCAUAACCCCAUUUACAAUGGAGAAAUCUGUGAAUCCAGUAAUUGGUAUAGUCCUCUACCAUGAAAUAAACUACCAAUUGUGCAAGAAUCUCCCACCCUGACGGCAGCGGCAACCCAGUCCGAAUCCCAACCAUCUGGGAUCAUCAAAGCAAACCCAUAUUACAUUUUGUACAAACUCGUAAAAAAGUAGUAAAAUGAUAGCAAUAAUUUAACUAUUUAACCGCGAAUAAGCUAGAAGACAUCAAAUACCCAGAAACGCAAAAUAAAGGAAGCACCAUCUUAUAAAUUCAAAAUAUGAAAUUCCAAUAAGUUACAGAAACCAGAAAUCUGAUUACUAAAAAUCAACAUUUGAGUAUCAUAACAAUUUUCAGCUGCUUCAAUUGCAGAAAAACAGAACCAUGCAUGCAUCCUUACAGAACUCAUCAAAUCGCAUCAAUUAAGCAAUUCAAUAAAUUAACCGGAUAUGCAAAGCUAAAAAGCCGAAAACACCCCCCACAAUGCAAAUGUAAAAACCAAAAAACACAUUCCACAAACUUGGAGAAUUUGAGUGAAAAAUGAAAAGACCUGAACGGAAGGGAAAGAAACGAGUUGAAGAGGGCCCACAACGAGAAAGAACAUGCGCAUAACAUCCUUGUAGCAGCGAACCAUCUCGGAGAAAGAGAGCCUAACUUUCGGCUGAAUCUUGUACUUAUCGAAACUAUCAGAUCGCAGCGAUUCAAUAACGACAAAGGGCAGCGGCGCAACAGAAAACACCAAAAACAGAAACAGAAUGUUGUGGCAGUACAGGAAGUAAUCCGAUUUGUUCGCCGAGUAAUUGUACCAUAACGUCUCCGCGAACGUCAGGUUCCGUCCAAGCGCUGCGGCCGCGUCUUCGAUUGUAGCGUACGGCAGCAUUUUAGUCCGAGCAGCGAAGAUCGGAGUCUGGUGGCGCGUGGAGGAGAGCGAGAAUUGAUUAGGAUGGGGGCUGGGGGAGGGUGAGGAGGAGGAGCUGAGGCCUUUUUUUUUUGUUUGUGUGUGGUUUUGCGAUGCGCUGGCAGAGGGGGGGUUUGUAGUUUGUGUUUGUUAAAAUUAUGCGGGAAUUUUGAAACCACGCCCCCGUUUUAGUAUUGUGGCACCCUGCUGUGAGCUGUGUCGUUUGUUGUUGCUCUCUUCUUGCCGUUAUUUAUAUCUCGAAUUUUCGUUUAACAUUUGUUUUUUCUUUCAUAUAAAUUGCAGCCCACUCAUUAAAAUUAAAAUGAAAAAAAAAAGUGUUUUAUUUAGUAUGAAUAACUUUUCAAGUUAUACAUGGUUCGGCCCUUGUCUGAGUGGUUAGAACUGUUAUUCUCUAAGUUGGAGGAUAAUAGUUCAAAUCUCCACAAAUUUAAUGUGUAUUUUCUUCCGUAAUUAUAAUGUACAAUUGAGUGAAUAUAAUCUUCUCUUUUACCAAAAUAUGAGUGGAGUAUGCAUUUUUUGAAUAUUAAUAAAGAUUAAAACUCUGGAGAAAGCUCCAUAAGUAUAGUGAGGGUUGAAAAAUCUGAAUAUAAGUUGGUCUCAGUAAUAACUUAAUUUAUAAAUAUCGGUUAUAAUAUCAUCUAAUAUGAGUUAUAUUUGAGUAAUAGUAUCAUGUAAUAAAAAAAAUUCAAUACAUACUAAUACUAAUAUAUAAUAUAAAUUGAAGAUUUCAAAAUUUCACAUGCGUAUCGUCACGUGACAGGUCACGCAUUGUUGAUUUUCUUUUUUUUAAAAUAUGGAUGGUUGAUUUUAUUUUUUUUUUAAAACUAAAUAUGGAUAGUUAAAUUUAAGAGCGAGUAAAAUAAAAUGUUGAUAAACAGUAGAUUCACAGGCAGUGUAUGGGAGUGAGACUAAGGGUGCGUUUGGGAUUGAGGUUGGGCAGCUGUAGCUUAAAAGCUACAACACUAAAGUGUUUGGUAAACACUAACUGUUGUUCUCAAUGCGGUCAUGGAUCUCAUCAAGAGUUGGACCAUUGGCCCAACCCCUUGACAGGCCUUUUAAAAUCCCUUUGAAAUUAUUAGCCUCACUCUAAACAACUCUUAAAACCCUUUUUUUCUCAGUUAACCCAUUAAAGUACUUCAGCAAAUAAGUUCCAAGGAUUCAGUUUGCAAGGCAGCCACGCCGAUUGAUGGAUGAUGGCAUUGAUUAUCCGGCAAUGCUUGCAUAAUUUUAUGUUGUUCAUUGUUCAGUGUCGCAAACUGCCACACUAUCUUUAGUUUAUGCUAUUAUUUGUAGUAUCCAAAUACAAUCAAGAGAUCUGAAUUUCAUAGUCAUUUUUCCUUCUCAUUAGGAUUUGUUCUUUUUAAAUUCAACUUGCUAGUUAUCUUGUAGCAUUGCUAGUCUUUUAGGGUGCGUUUGGGAUUGAAGUGCUGUAGCUUUUAAGCUAUAGCUGCUGUGGAAAAAAAACUGUAAGUAUUCAACUUGCUAGUUAUCUUGUAGCACUGCUAGCCUUUUAAUCUAAGUAUGAAAUAACUCGCUCGCUCUCUCUCUCUCUCUCUCUGUGUUCGGUUUAAUUUUUAAUAAAGGUUAGAAUUAUAAAAUAGGUAAAAGGGGUUAAAAUAGAUUUUGAAGGGCAGCCGAUGGUCCACUCUGUUACAAGUAAUGUUUGAAAUCCAUCACUUCUCAAAAUCAGGAAAACAAAAAUCACGCCCACCGUGGGGCUCGAACCCACGACCACAAGGUUAAGAGCCUUGCGCUCUACCGACUGAGCUAGACGGGCUGGUUGUUGCCGUUAACUGCCCAAUAUUUAGAUCUUUAUUCUGCUGGCAUCCCAUAUCUCCCCAACUAAAAGAUAACUUUGUCGUUUCAUUGAUAUCAUCAAAUCAUUGAUCAAAACAUAUAAGAAAUUAUAAAAACAUAUGGAUCACAAGUUACAGCAUUCUGAAAUCAUCUGUGGAAGUAGACGUUGACCAUAAGGUUACCUAGCAUGAAUUAAUAACCUGCCGAUUGAUUAAACCAGUGCCAAUGAUACUUUUUGAGUUUUGAAUGAAAACGUCAUCAAGAAAUGCCACUUAACUAUUCUGAUGCUAAAGAAAAUGCUAGAACUCAGAAGAUCAUUACUCAUCUAAUAAUAUAAAGACAAGCCAUAGUUCCAAAUCACAUAUUCUUUCUAGAACUGGACAUAAUUUCAAAGACACAAGUUCUUAACACUGUUGAAACCCCUUCUCAAGCUACACGAAAACAUUUGCUUAAGAACCUUAAGUUGAAACCUUCUAACUGUUGAAACCCCUUCUCAAGCUACAUGAAAACAUUUGCUUAAGAACCUUAAGUUGAAACCUUCUAACUGUUGAAACCCCUUCUCAAGCUACAUGAAAACAUUUGCUUAAGAACCUUAAGUUGAAACCUUCUAACUGUUGAAACCCCUUCUCAAGCUACAUGAAAACAUUUGCUUAAGAACCUUAAGUUGAAACCUUCUAACUGUUGAAACCCCUUCUCAAGCUACAUGAAAACAUUUGCUUAAGAACCUUAAGUUGAAACCUUCUAACUGUUGAAACCCCUUCUCAAGCUACAUGAAAACAUUUGCUUAAGAACCUUAAGUUGAAACCUUCUAACUGUUGAAACCCCUUCUCAAGCUACAUGAAAACAUUUGCUUAAGAACCUUAAGUUGAAACCUUCUACUUUGCCAAAACAGCACGUUGUUGUCAACUUGAAAUUAGAUGUUUCCAGGACUUGUCACCAGUAGAAAUAUACCAGAUGCAUAUUGUUCUGAGCAACAAGUGUGCAGUCGGACAGUUACUCAGACUUAAGAUUUUGGUACGAACCUCCAUUUUGCUCACCACUACCUCUUAAUUCCUCUUGCAUCUGAAUUGGAUUACACAGGAGCAAUUACACUCAGCUUUAAUGCUAAAGAACAGAACUAAAUUGUGAAGAUGUGACUGAAUACCUUUAAAAAAAAAAGGUAAAAUACAGAGUGCAAGAGUUUACCUUUCUAAGGAGCUUCUUUUGAUAGCGAUAGCCCUAAUUGAGAAAAAUUAAAAAGGCAAAAAUAAGUUAUCCCUGAAUCAUUAUGUGCGUUAAAAUUUAAAACUCAAUGAGUACAUAAUAAAAUAACAAAGAGUUGGAAAAAACCUUGUCAGUUCCAUAAAGAAAAUCACAAUAGGUAAAGACAGAAGCAAAGUUGCUGUGGCUUUGCUCCCCAACAUAAUGGUGGUAAUCAUGAUAAUCUGCACCGCCGUAAAAUGGAAUAUACUUUGUGAAACCCCAGGGGAAGUCAUACCUGCAAAAGGAGAAACAAACUAGCACAUGCUUUACAUCUACAAAAAUCAGCACGUAAAGACAAAAAAAU
Molecule: long non-coding RNA, 6730 nt
Filed under: Citrus sinensis (sweet orange)
Lineage: Eukaryota; Viridiplantae; Streptophyta; Magnoliopsida; Sapindales; Rutaceae
Description: long non-coding RNA (CSIN_LNC001963)
Source: RNAcentral